This is a long non-coding RNA of Acinonyx jubatus (cheetah), 22414 nucleotides long. RefSeq lists it as uncharacterized. The record is from RefSeq and is a predicted model, not a curated record. The transcript is spliced from 2 exons. Lineage: Eukaryota; Metazoa; Chordata; Mammalia; Carnivora; Felidae.
UAUAUAUAUAUAAAUCUGUGUCUAUAUAUAAAAUAAAGCUACCUGUAAUGCAGAAGCAUUGGAACUCAUUUUGAAUAGUUUGAAUGUUUUCUUAUGUAAUCUCUAAAAUGAUAUUUGAGGAAUAAGGAUAGGUCUUCUGAAAGGCUCUAAAAACAUAGACAUUGAUUUCUAAAUAGUCAAAACCCUUUAUUUCUUAGUUAACUAAUUCCUGAAGUUGUAUAGAACUCAAAUUUAUAAUUUUUAUAAACUAAAAAGAAGAGGGCAUAAUUAUGGGAAGAAAAUAUGAAAGCUUAAAAUGAUCACAAAAGUGGAAAAUUAUAUCUUUGGGAAGUUAUAAAAUAACCAUAACUAAUUAUGUGAAUUAAUUCCGAUGAGAAUAUUUCAAGGAGGAUUGUUCUUUAGAUUAUUCUUUAGCAAGAAGACUUGAACAUAAAGCCAAAUUCCUCACAACAUCCUGCAAAGAUUGUCAUCACAAGUCAGAGACAGAGGAAGUAUGGAAACAUUUUAACAGGCAUAUAUAUGAAAGUUAAAUGUACACCCAGCCUCAAAAUCAGGAAGACAUUAGUGACAUGUCUGAAGAAGACAUUCCCUAAUAUUAUUGCAAAUUAAAUAAGAAAAGACCUCAAGAGAAUGAAAAGAGAAAAGGUGCCUGGAGCCAAUGAAUUACAAUUGACAACCUAAAGGCAGUUGAAGAACCAAUUGCUGGAGUGAUUGCAAAGCUAUUCAUAGUGUGCAGCAGACAGAGCAUACCAGAAAGCUGGAACAAUGCCUUCAGUUCAGCAAUAUUGCUUCAAAAGAAUGGAAAGAGGGGAACGGGAAGAGCCACUGACCCUGAGACCAAUUUCCAGGCAGCUGCACAAACUAUAUACUGUAAUUAAAGGUUUUGACCAGUAAUCACAGCAAAGCCAGACUACAGAAAGUCUAGGGAGUCAGCGAGGUUUAUAAUGAGGCAGAUAUCCUUAACUAAAAGUGUGGAAAAAGCAGGUAAGAAAACCAGUCCAUUUUUGGCAGUGACUUUGAGAAGCUCUGCUGUGUUAACACAAAUAUGAAAAUCACAUAUUUUUGGCCUUCUUCCUCUAAGAACAAAAACGUGUAAUCAAAGAUAUCUGCUUUCAUCUUUUGAGAUGAAUAGAAUACUCUGCUCCUUAGUACCUGGAAUUUUCUCCUUGCCACUUAUUUUUCUUUACCUGUGAAUUGCCUGUGCCUUUUGGGAAAACAGUAAGCCAGGCACGUGCAGUGGUACAGACAACAGACUCCCACUUAGAAGUAGCUACUCUUCCAGGAUACAUGGGCUUUGGCAGAAAUGAACUAACCCACACCUGAGUUCUUUGUCUGUAGAACCUCUUUUUCCCUUUUGUUUACUGAUAAUGUAGAAUCUCUUUCUUUCUUUAGUAGUAUCUCUACACAGAUGUCCGUGUUCAGCUACCACUCUUACUUAAAUAUUCACAUAGUACUUUGAAUGUUUAUAUCUUGAGUAAAGGGGAAUCUAGUGGUUUUGAAUAAAGGCAUGAUACAAACUUCCAAAACAAACAAGAAGGUGUCAACAUGAGUCCAGUGAACACAAACGACAUCUCAUUUUGCAGACACCACGUAGUUCUCUCCUGACUGGCCUGCUAAGACCUUUGCUGUGUUUGAUGUCACAGUAUCCAGUAGUGGAAUGGAAAUAGUCUUCUCGGCUAGAAAUUCUGAAAUUGUAAUUUGUACACACGUUAAUCGUUGACAAAAAAAAAUGACAAGUUUUCUACUGACUUAUAAAGGAGGAGUCAAGUAAGGUUUCAUUUUAUUUUAUUUACCCUUAUCACAUAACAUAUUCCAGUGUCUGAAUUCCUUGUGUUAAGGGUGGUGUGCCUAGAUUGAGUUUACUUUUCUUCUACACCUGAAAUAAGAAUGCUCCAUAAAGAGUGUUCAGGCAGUAAACAGACGAAUAAAGUAACCAGAAUUGUUUUUGUAAACAAGGGAAACCAGCUAAACCUUAUGGGAAGACGGUUCUGCAUAUGAACUGUGAAAUAAAUUGGAGGUUGCCUAGAACAACAAAAUUGUAACGUGUAAGAAUUUGUAAAAUAUUUUUAGAACUAUAGUGAUGACUAAUAAUUUGUCAAGCCAAAACAAGUUUUUAUUGAAAGGGGCCAGAGUGGAAAAUCUGGGUAACUUGUGUGUAGUUUAGACAAGGAGAACAAAGAAAUAAUGAAAUGAAAAUAAGACCUUGGCAGAGGAAUGCUUACAGAACAGCUGACUGAAGACUUACAAUUGUUAAUGGUGCUAUAAAAGACAGAUAUUUUCUCAUCAUGCUGUAGCAUAUCACAUGGAAGACAAGACUGAAUAAUUACAAGAUCCUGAAAAAUAGGCCAAAAAAAGAUGUUGAGAUAAAGGUAUAAUUUAUAUGCACUGAGUAGAAUCGUUAUUAUGGUUAUUGACAUUAUGCAAAAGCAAAUCAUUGUGCCCAAAUGGCCUAAUUUUCUAAAACAUGAAAACAAAUUCUUAAGAAAGAAUCUUUCUCUGAUUAUAUUUAAAGACUUACAUUUUACUCUGUUCUAGAAUAGUUUCAUUUAAAAUGGUACUUGCCAAACUUCUUGAAAAGGUUAGGUCUAAAUAUUUGAAUUAUUUAAAUGAGUGGGUAGAGAUUCAUUAAGUGUAAAAAUGCUUGUGUCUACAUGUUUGGGGCAAUAAAAAAAGAUGUCAAUUUCCCAUAUUUUUAUAUGGACUUUGAUGUUUUUCUUUAAUUAAAGCUCAAGUUUGGACAUCUUUCUGUUUUUCCUUAAUUAAUAAUGGCUUUUUAAUGACUUUUAUAUUAACAAGCAAAUUAAGCUUUUUUUUUUGUUUUGUUUUAGCUGAAAAAGGGAAAACAGCCUUGAAGGUAAAACAUAAGAUUGCCAGAUUGCUUGAGCCUGUUAGAGUUAACAGAAAUUUUUUAUUAAUAUAGUUUUCUGCUCAGCACAGUUUUCUGCUCUAGGGAAAUAGUCUUUAAUGAUUCUUAUGUGCAGUGCCCCUUUAAUUAUUUAGAACAUUGGUUCUAGCAGUGUAGAUGCAGAAAGUAUGGAAUAUUUUGUUGAAUUUGUACUAACUUCAUAUCAGGCCCAAGACAUUGCUUUUUUUUUUUUUUUUUGGUAAAACACUUGAUACAGAUCUGUGUUUUUGUAGUUUUAUCUGUUAAAAAUGGAAUAUAAAAAUUGUAAUUCCUUUAGUACUUGUUCUUUUUUGGAUUCUAGUUAGUCAAGAUUUUGCCAUAUGGUUCUGUAGCCAUAGUAAAGCUGAACUGAAAAAUGUGUGCUAUUAAAAAUGUCAUAUUUCUAAGAUGUUAAAGCAAGAUAUGACUGUAAUUGCUGGGUUUACUUUCACUGAAAUUAUUUUCGGAAUAACAUCUCUUCUCCAGCUCUGCUCACAAAUAUGUACAAAUUUGUAACGAAUUAUGGUUGACAUUACUUGAUCCAUUCUUUGUCAAUUAAGAUUAUGUAACUACCACCCAAUGGAUGUCUGUCGUUCUCAUUUGGAUCUCCAUGGAGUAUGACAUAAUCUUUAAAAAUCCAUUCAUUUUUAAGUUUCAAAAAUCCAUCUCAUUUAAAUUAACCUGAAUGACAAAGCACGUGGUAAAUUUUAAACAGGUACAAAACGGUGUACAUUGAACAAUAUUCUGUUUUUUUCAUGUGCCCUGGUCUGCUGUACUUUAUUAUUUUUUUGUUUAUUUUUGAGAGAGAGAGAGAGAGAGAGAGAGAGAGAGAGAGAGAGACCGAGUGUGAGUGGGGGAGGGGCACAGAGAGAGGGAGACACAGAAUCCAAAGUAGGCUCCAGGCCCUGAGCUGUCAGCACAGAGCCUGACACGGGGUUCGAACCCAUCAUCCAUGGGAUGAUGAGCUGUAGUCAGACCAUUGACCGAGCCACGCAGGUGCCCCUAGUCUGUUGUACUUUAAAGCUCUCAUCCUUCAACCUAGCUACUUGCUCAGGAGACUUUGAAGGUGAAAAGAUUAGAAACACCAACUUAAUGAAUUUUGUUUAACAAUAUGAAUGUGGACCGUAUAUUAAUGAUGUAAUUAUCUUAAAGAUACUUCUAAGACACGUGCAGUAAGGUGCUGUAAUCAUUUCAGGAAAGUUAAUUUUAACACUUUAGUCUCUAGGUUGUUACCUUGAAUUUUAAGCAGUUAUGGGGGGGGAGGUAAUUUAUAGGAACUCCAAUUCUCAUUUCUGGAGAAGGACUUAUUUUGGAAUAUGAGGAUAUGCAUCUAAAAAAUCAUACUUUAUUUUAAUUAUGAGAAACUUCAAAGAUAGAGAUAAGUACAAAAAAUGACAUGACAGUGAAACUCAUCCACCCGUUACCCAGAUUCAGCACAUUUUAACAUUUUACCAUAGUUGUUCAGAUCUCUUCCUUAAAUCAGUAAAGAUGCAUUUUCAAAGCCCCUUCCCUCACUUCUUAAGUGAGUGUAUCUUGAAGUUGGUAUCUUUCCCAACAUACAUUUUUAUACUUCUAAUACAUAUGCAUGUAUCUCUAAGUAAUAUACAGUAAUGUUUUGUGUGAUAAAAAUUUACAUAAGUGGUGUCUUAGAGUGUAUACUUUGUCAUGCUUUUUUCAUUACGUUUUUUGAGCUUAUAUGAUAUAUGUAAAUCUAACUUAUUUAUUUUCAUUGAUAUAUUAUGUUCCAAGGCAUGACUGUGCCAUAAUUUUAUUUAUUUAUUCUUAUUGAUAAACUUUUAGGUUGUUUCUGGAUUUUUGAGAUGACAAACAAAGCUGUUGACGAAUAUCUUUGUACAUGUUUCCUUGUGUAUAUAUGCAAGCAUUUCUAAAGUGUAUAUGUGUCAAAUUGGAAUUGCUGGAUCAUAGGAUACACACACAUUUAACUUGAUGGGUAUUUAACUUGGCACUUUGGGUUUAGAGAUGACAGACAAUAAGGCUCUGAGGUCAGACCAUCUGGAUUUAAAUCCCUCUUACUGUGGACCAGCAGAAUAAUAUUGAGCAAAAACUUAAAUCCAUUUCCUCAUCUGUAAAAUGGGGCUAAUCCUAGAACCUACCUCAUAGCAAAUAGUGAGGAUUACCUGAGGAUUGAGCACACAGAGUACCCGGAUUAACUGCUGGGUCCGUCCUCCUUCUCUGGACAGAAGUAUUAAGAGCAUGAAAUGGCACGUUUAGCUGUGCCUCGGAUACUGUCACGAAUGCCUGUUAAAUACACAGAAGUGAAACAAAAUCCAGUGUAGGGACAGGUAUGUUUAUAUACUUUUGAGAGUGCUUGAAGAAUGAGUUCCAAAUAGGAAAAAAAAAAAAUUAAAGCAAUGAAGACCGUACACAAUGUUACAACUUCCGUUAGAUUAAAUUAUAAGCAAGUUGAUUACUACCAUUCAGAUAGACUGUGUUCUUGUCAAACUGCUUUUCAUCACUAUGCCAACAAGAUGUACUUUCCUCUGCUGUUGUGAGGAAACUGGGAAAAUCCAAUCUUCUGGAGAUUUUGACUUGUGAAACUCGAUACUAAAGUGUGUUCUUUACAAUGUUCCAGAUAGGUCAUUCUGCUUGAAUUUUCUGAUUUGUCAAUUUUGCAGUACAGGUAGUAGCUCUGUCUUAAAGAAAGUAAGCAACUGUAGAAUGUUGUACUUUGCCAAUGCAUGAAAAUGAGGGAGAUGCUUGAACAAGCUGUGGACCUACCUGCAGGUUUCUAGGUUUCUGUGAGGCCUCACAGAAGCCCCGAAAUCUGCUUUUUAUAGUGUGCCACUUGGUGUAUUCUCAUGAUGUGAUUGACGGGCUCGUUGUUUCCUCUUUGAAGGCCCAAGAGGUUACUCGGAUUAUUUUAAGAGUGGAUUCUUACGUUGAGACUUAAAUAGAACGUCCUCACCAAUUCUUACAUUGAGACUUAAAUAGAAUGUCCUCACGCCUUAAAGGUGGAUUAGUUUGCAUUACUUUCAUUGCUUUUCAAGUGUUUUGGGAAAUAUUUAAGAGUCCUCCUAAAAACUGGAUUUCCUGGAGUGUGUUUUCUUUGGGGAGCGAUUUUAAGGAUAAGUUGUAGACUUUUUCCGAAAGCUCAAAAGUUAACAACCAAAAGGUCCCGGUUAAAACAAAUUACUUAAUUAAAAAAAAAAAAAUGGGCAUGAGAGAAAACCCCCAUCGUAUCUCUGCAUCCCUUAUAGUAAAUCAGACCUGUGUGUGUUUUUAACAAAAACGAGGGUGUGCUUCCCGCCCCCCCCCCCCCCCUUCAUUCUCUGUUUCUUUUGAUCAUUGAUCUGGGUGACCCCACGCUCAGGGUUUUUUUUCUUCAUUUGACAUGGACAGAUUUUUGAAGUAUAGCUCUCCUUUGGGAACCCCGGGCAGUUCCACUUGACUAACCUGUGAUCUAAUGAGCAGUAAUGCGGGGUUACAGUGGCCAUUUUGUGUGCUUUGAGGAGGAGGAUGGCUAGACAGAGUGGGAGAAAGGCGAGGUCUGCGGAGAAAAGGAGAGGCAGGGUGAUCGAACAGUGUGAAAAAGACUUGUUAGCCCACAUUAGUUUGCCUGAUUUACUUCACAACAGGUCAGGAAAGGCCAACAGCAUGGUUGUCGUUAAAUUUGCAAAGUUGAAAAUCCGGGUAUUAGAAAGGAUCUCUUUGAGAUCUCAGAGCUAUUAAUUCCAAAGUUGGUUUUAACUCACCUUGGAGUUGCAGCACACAGGGUAGCAUCACACUUUUCUUCGGUCUUCUGUAUAUUUAUGAAAUCAUCAUGUGACCCUCGAUUCUUUUUUUUUUUUUCUCCAACGCUGCAAAUUUUAAACAUCCCGUCGUGGUUGGGCCAUUCUGCCAUGAGAGGGAAGCCAAAACACUGAGCAAGUCAUUGCACUUUUUUAUGCUUGAUGUUCGACUCUUAAUGAGGCGCCCAUGCUUUCCAUUUAGAAAUGUUGCAGAAGUGCAUUUGUGAACUUCUAUCCUGAUAAUCGGAGGAAGCUCUUAAAUUUGUCUCUGCACAUCUACUCUGAUGUACCCUGAUGUGGGUUUGUUUGUGUGAGUGUGCACAUGCUCGUAAGUCGUCCCCGUAGAAUACAGUCAGAGUAACUGAGAUAACCAAAUUAGAUUUCAGCAUCCUUCUUUCUCUGCCUUAAGCUUAAACCAGUAUAUUUUGCAUCCCACUUUUGUUUAUGCCUUUUACAUGAAAGCAAAUAGACGACCUACCAAAAAAUGUCCAGGUUUUUGGAACAUUUCAUUACUGGAGCCUAAAAAUUAUUUUCUUGAAUUUAUAAUCUUUUUCUCUUCACAUUCAGAAGUCUAUAUAUUACACUAAAAACAUAAUAGUUAUUGAUCACAACACUGCUUUUGUUUGACCACCAGUUCUGUAAGACUUGCCAAUAAAAGCCAUCUCGCUGCGGGAUUAAAGAAUAGUUGAUACUAUCAGCUUUUUUAUUCUACACGUGUGUGUGUGUGUGUGUGUGUAGAGAGUAUUUAAAGCCUGUGUUUGAGAUCUAAAUGGAAGUCUUUACAAAUGGCGGACAGUGGCUCAAGCCCCAUAAUUGCAUCUUGCCUCAGGGCAUAGUAUGUAUGUAGACUUAUUCUUCUUUGUGCCAUAAGAGUGCCUAGAAGAUGGACUAGCCUAUGCUUACCGUCUUGGGUCAGGUGCUUUGGCUGUGCUAAGGAGAAUUGUUCAACAGGAAAAAAGGUACGUUAGACCAAAUUAAAGCCUCACACAAUGACCUUAUGUGAAGACUUAUCUGGAGAAACUCCUUUCUUUUUAGAUAUGCUUGCCUAUCUGCAAAUUGGCAAAAGGAAGUUUCCCAAGGAAGAAAGAUACCUUGGUUCAGCAUUUUAAGCAUAUCUUAGUGUUUUUUGAAUUUGAUUAGUUAUCUAACAAAACAACUGUUCAUUGUUGCAACCAGUAUUUUUUGCACACUUGCUCUGUGCCCAAAUACUGUGUGAGGAGAUGCAAAGAUAAAAUAUGGUCCCUUUCUUUCCUCAGGUCACCUACGUAUAACAAAUAACCACAAUAUAUUACGAUAUGAGCCAAUAAAAAUAUGUAAAGAGUACUAUGGGAACACAGGAGAGGCUGAAAUUAAUAUGAACUAACACAUGUGCAAUGUGCAGUGUUUCACCUACAUUAUAUCUGGUAAUUCUCGAUUGUCCUGGGAAACAUGGUUUUACUUCCUUAUGAAAUAGUAAAUUACCCAAGAUACAACUAGUAACCCGAAUCCACUUUCAACUGAAUCCAAAUUUAACUCAUUUGCUCUUUUCACUAUACCCCAACAAUCUUUUGUCAUUGAAUUUAAAAAAUUGAUUUAAAAAAAAAAUUAUCUUGAAGUCUUAAGUUCUUCUCGUGAAUAUUUUUUGCUGCUCUGGACAAGCCCCAGCUGCCAGUUUGCAGAUGAGCCCUUUUUACAAGUGACUUCAAUCAAAAUAAGAGUGAUACAUCGAAGAAACUAAGCCAAGUAUGUUUUUAUAUAUUUGUGAAACAGAAUGACUGUUGGAUUCCAGUACUGGGGGGAGAAAGUCUGCUGAUUUGGGCUUAACUUACUGUCCAGUUCAUCUUUGUUUUUAGAAAUAACACAAGACUGAAUUAGAGAACUGAGGACACCAGAGCAAUUUCUGUAAACACACAACCUCCUCCAUAAGUUUUCCUGACCAUAACCCACCUCUAGCAGCUUUUAGGGCUCCAUUCAUGUGUUUAUAUUUGUCAAUUUUAGAAAUGAGAGACAAGAAGAAAAGCUAGAAAAGAGUCUUUGGAAGCAGAGGAAGCAAGUUAAGACCCAAAACAAUGUGUUUUAUUUGGGGAGUUGCCCAUUCCAAAGAGAACAAUACAUUUUCUAAAUGUAACCUUUUGUGUGCUUGCAUGGGAAAUACCCAUCACAGAGUUAAAAAGGUACCUUUGCAGGGGCACCUGGGUGGCUCAGUUGGUUAAGUGACCAACUCUUGAUUUCAACUCAGGCCCUGAUCUCAGGGUUCAUGAGUUCGAGACCCACUUCAGGCUCUGGGUUGACCAUGGGGAGCCUGCUUGGGAUUCUGUCUCUGCCCCUUCCCCGCUCGUGUAUGCGUGUGCUUGCAUGCACUCUCUCUCAAAAUAAACAUUAAAGAAAAAAAAAACCUUUCCAUUAGAUAAUAGUUCCUUUUUUUGGUACCUCGUAUUAAAUACUUGUGCCACGCAGGUAACAUGUGAUGGAGGAAGGUCAGACUGGGAUUUUAGAUCAAGUCCUCUGACCUCAACGUGGCAGUGGAUUCCUUAAAUGCUCCCUAUCUAUAAAAUGCUGCAGGCCCACUGAAGGAUAGAACACAUUAGAAAAUAACCUCUUAGCUCUCAAAAGAAUUCUGAGUCUUGAUUUAUACCACUGUUGUUUUCUUUGCAUAAAAUAAUGGCACCGUAGAACUUCAGAAAUAGCUGAAUGUUCUUGUCAAGAGGGCUGCUAAUCUACCUUUUAGCGACUUAGCAAACAUUCACUGGGGAAAGGGAUCUGUUUUGAGAUCUUUGAGAUCUUUGUAGGUGCCUAAUACAGCUUCUCAAACAUAGUAGAUGCUCAGUAAAUACUGUCAGAUAAACAGCUUCGUGCCUGUGUGGGGCCAGGCAGUGCACUGCGUAGUGAGUGAGACGGACCAAGUCCCAGCCUUUGCGCACUGAUCCAAGUGGGCAGUGUUCAGAACUGUUUUUUCUUCAUAGUGAGGUAACAGUAACUUAUAAAGGUGGAUAAAUUAGAAGAUUUAAAUAAAAAUUAAUGUAGAGGCACCUGGGUGGCUCAGUUGUCUGGGCGUCCGACUUCAGGUCAUGACCUCACAGUUUGUGAGCUCUAAUCUCAAGUAGAGCUCUGUGCUGACAGCUCGGAGCCUGGAGCCUGCUUCAGAUUCUGUGUCUUCCUCUCUCUACCCCUUCCCUGCUCACACUCUGUCUCUCUCUCAAAAAUAAAUAAACAUUAAAAAAAUUAAAAAAAAUAAUGUAGCAUUUCUAAAAAUGCUCUAAAGUUUUUAUGAGCACCUUAAGAGAAAAUGUUAACUUAUUUAAAAUAUCUAUCUGAAUCACGUGCCCCAGUACCUUUUGUGUUACUGUUACGUUUAUUUGUUGGGAAUUUUCAUGUUUUGCUCCCGAACUAAAAAUCUUUAAUAUUGUCCUGUUACAACAUAAUUCAGGUAUUUCUGCCAUGAUUCUGUAGAAUUCUUUUUUUUCUCUAAACUUUAAGGAAUGGAAGUACAUUGAAUGUAUUAGAGACGUGGCAAUUUCUAAGGAGCUCUAAAUAAGUCUUGGAAACUGGUCAUGGUAGAACUCAGAAAUUUGGUGAACAUCAAGAUUAACUGGUAUGACAUUUGCUAAGGCAGGUGGUAAAUGUCAAAAAUGUAUCUACUGGCCCUGUAUAGCAUAUAUGCAUCAAGUCUUGAGAACCAUUGUGUCUCUGGGGUAAUCAUCUGAAAUGCCUUUCAUCUGUUUUACUAAUUGUUACAUAGACUAAACCCUGUUUAGAAACCUUCACACUGAGACCACACUGAAAACACAUCUGCGUUUAAAGAUAGAUUUUUUUUUUUAGAAAACAUAUGUGUGUAUGUAUAUAUAUAUAUACGUGUAUAUAUAUAUAUACACACGUAUAUAUAUAUAUAUGUAUCCAUAUACACUGGUACUUGAAACAAUUUGUUUUUAUAGCAGACCCUUGAUAUCCAUCAGAGUAUAUUCUAAACUUCCCUUCCAGAGGAGUCCCUUAAAUAUUGUAUAAUGUUGAUACUUAAGAAAGGAAAGAGUAAGUUAGAGCCAUUUUUGUACAUUUUUCUGAAAUUAUUUCCAUAAUUAAUAUUUCAGAUGAGGUUUGACAACCCAGAUCAGUCCUUUGAUGGUUGGUAUAUGUGUAGGAAGCAUUAUUGCACUAGAGACCUUUACACAUACCUUCUGCCUUUGGAUUAUGAGAAUCUGCAUAUCUACUAAAGUAAAUGCUUGCUCUUGAUUAGGGAAAGAUAGCAAUCAGAGUUGCUCAACAUGUGCCAAAGUGUGUGGAGAGAGCCAGAAGGCCCCCGCAGCAUCCUUACCCUGGGGCCAAAUGUUGCCCAAGUCUUUUUAGUUUGUGUUAGACCAGGUUUUGGGGUGCUGGUUUCUCAGAGUGAGCCCAUCAGGAUCUGGAGAACACCCUGGCCCAGGCAUUUGGCCCAAUGCCAGGAUGUCUUUCAUGUUUGAGUUGAGCUAUGGAGCAUGCACCUUAGAACAGAGCAAACUCCUUAGACAAGACUUCUGUGAGCGCUCCACGUUCAACAAUAGGCACUAUUCUCAGUGAUUAUCAAGAAUUCAAUUACGUGUCCUUUUCAACACUAAAGGGCUGCAUCUUUAACAUCAAAGCAAGGCUUUGUGUUUGUCCAUCACUCAUCCUUUAUGAAUACUUCCUUUAUGUCUGCAUUUAAAUGUGCCUAUAAAAUGUAUGUAUGUGUAUGGGAUAUAAUUAUGAAGCAGUUGGAGUUUUUUAAAAAAUGCCUCAAUGUGUAUGAAUACUGUCUCCUAAGCAUAGAUUUUUAAAAUUUAUGACCUACUGUGUUGCAGGAAAAAGUGAUAAAAGCUGAAAUGGUAUAAUUUGGAUCUAUUUUUCUAUUUAAAAUAUAUCUGGAUUUUAAGACUUGUGCCAUUAUAAGAUUUAGCAGCGUAAUUCUUUUAUGCUGAAGAUCGUCUGGAUCCGGGUUAUGACUGAGACCUGGUCAAAGAUCUCUCUGGAAGCCAGCCCAGUAAGGGAGAGAAAAGCUUGCUGAGGCCUGAUACUUAAGUGACCUUAGGAUGAGAGGACAGGAGAAGACAGAAGAGAUGUGGAGAUGAUCCUUUUCAGAAAUAGCGCAAAGACAAAGAGAUUGAUAUUCCCUACAUUUAAGACUACCAUGAGAGUCUCUGUUAUUAUUACAAUGUCUUAUUUCAGCAGUGCCUUUUUUCCCAUUGAAUUAGUCUUCUGGCAUAUGAGCCAUACAAGCAAAACUUUGUGUUUUUGUGUUUGUUUUUUAAUUUUUUUACAUCCCACGCAUGAUCACCUAUUCACUAACGAAUUUUUGCAAGUAUUAUGCAUGUUUGUUUCAUCCAUCCAUUUGUUCAUUUACAAUACAUACUUAUUGAGCACCUGCUUCCAUAGUUCAGGCCAAUGAAUUUUACUCUUUAAAGCCACACAUCUUUGUCACAAGAGGUAUUGACAAGAAUAUGCCAAGGAUUCAUUCAAAAGCCAAAUGCAAAAGAAUUCCAAAUAGGUUUGGGGUAUCACUUGGAAUAAGUACAUAGUAUAGAGCUUCAAAAGGAGAUUACUUUUGUAUGUGUAUUUUAGCCCUAAAAGCUCUGGGGUGAACAUGUAUUGAUUCCAUAUACUAGUGUUAUUUAUUUAUUUAUUUAUUUUUUUAAAGCUUCCUCAGUCUAUCCAUUAGCCACAUGUAAGUAGCUGGAGGCAGGGGAGGGAGAGGAAUGUACGGAAAUGUGUCUGACUUGGGAUGUCUCGUUUUCCAGAAUCCCUGCCAAGGGCUGGCAAGCCCAGAAAGGCAGAGGCUGGCACCAUUCCCUGCCGCUCUCCGCCCUCCAUGGCAUACCCCAUCAGACGCCUGUUCUAGGCGUGACCUAGAUUCCCUAGCUGAUGCCUGGGUCCAGCCAGGCCCGUUGCUUUUUGUUUGUUUGUUUCCUCAUCUCUUCAUCUCAAGUCUCGUUUAGCCAUUAAGUUAAAGAAAUGCUCCAAAGGCCUGUGCCAAAAUGUGUCUGCCCUUCUUCUCGGUGGCACAUGCCCAACUGUCAGUUGACAGGUGGGCAUACCACCUGGGGAACAGUUAACUUCCCACAGCAGAUGGAGGUUUACUGGUCCAGGAGAAGGCCCACAACUGGGUUGCUGGAACAGAUGCUCUGCAGACAGUCUCUGGAUCUCAGUUUUCCUCACCCCCUCUGGCUCCGUCUUCCCUCACUGCACAUGUAGAUGUGAGUAGAGCUUUGUAGCAUUACAGGUUUCCAAACAUAAAAUUUCUCUACUGACUCUCAGGUUUGAGUGACCAUCUACAGGCCUUCCAAACUUUAAGAAAUAAAGUCUGUAACAACAGAGAUGAGUAGAACUCUGGAAUCUUGAAUAGUGACCUUAAAAACAUAGGUUAUGAAAACAUUUACAUCAGCAUUUGCCAAAAGGUGGUUUGGCUGGUGUGGGGAGUGUUGACACUUUAAUUGGCUUUUUCACUGCUCAAUAGCACAAUUUGGGUUUAAAUCUAUUUGUGGUAGAUGGUCACACAUGAAGGUUGUACCUUCCAGAUUUCCAAAGUGUGGAAGAAAAAUUUCCUCUGUGGUUUGAUACAUUUCCUUGUUUUAUUGCAAAUAAUUGAAGAAAUGUCAGUGGAGUUCACUCCUUUCCAACCUAGUACUUAAAAAUUUUAGAGGAAAUUUAAUCUAGUGAAACUUGUUUUUCAAAUAAGAAAAUAAUAGUGUUUUCGUCCUGCCUUUCAGCCAUAAGCCAUCUGCAUUAUGACAAAUGACUCAUCAAUUUUAGUAAAAGGAGUCUACGCUAGCUUAUUACAGCCUCUUGCAGAUGUGUUACCGAUACGGGUACCACGGUAGACUUUUUAGCUCAGCAUUUGAAGGAUUUUCUCCUUUCCAUCUGUCCUCCUCCUUUCCUUCCCUAUUGUGCAAUACACGAAAAAUGAAAAACUGUAUAGAACAUAUAUAUGUAGUUUGAAAGAACAGUACAGCUAAUCCCAGUGUCCUCACAAUCCAUGUCAAAGACUAGACCACCCCGGGCCUUUUCAUUUCCAUGCUUUUCAUUUGAAGAUGAUCUCCCUCUCUCUCUACCCGGAAAUAAUCACUGCCUUGAAUUUUCUGCUGAGUAUUUCCUUGCUUUUUUUUUCACCUGUGUCAUCUAUACAUGGAUCUCUAAAUAAUCCAUAGUGGUGCCUAUUUUGAACUUUAUAUAGACUGAGAACCAUACUAUGAACGUAUUCUUUUGCAAUUUUCUAUUUUUGUUCAAACUUAUCUUCUUGAGGAUCAUCCAUGUUCAUCUCUGAGGCUGUAGUUGAUCUCUCUUAAUUGCUGUGUCCUAUUCCAUCGUGGAUAUAUCACCGUCUCUGUGCUGUUGAUGGACCUUUUCCACUGUUACUUCUGUUAUUUGGAUAUUAUCAAAACUGCUGUUGUGACCAUUUUUGAAUGUAUCUUAUGUAUACGUACAACUAUUUCCCAGUAGUGUAUACCUAAGAACGUAACGAGUUAAAAGUACUAUACAUUUUGGGCGCGCCUGGGUGGCUCAGUCUAUUAAGUGUCCCGCUUGGACUCAGGUCAUUAUCUCACUGUUUGGGAGUUUGAGCCCUGCGUCAGGCUCUGUGCUGACAGCUCAGAGCCUGGAGCCUGCUUCACAUUCUGUGCCUCCCUCUUUCUCUACCCCUCCCCUGCUCAUGCUCUCUCUCUCUCUCUCAAAAUUAAGUAAACAUUAAAAAAAAUUUUAAAAAAAAUUUUUUUUCCCUUAAGUAUGAUUUUGCUCCAGGCUGCUUAUUUAUUUAUGCAUUUAUUUAAAUAAAUGCCUUAAAUCCAGUGAAGGAUGAAGGGCAUUCUUGUAAAAGGUGUCCUUUCCUUUUGUGAAGUAGAUUUUGUUGUGAAUGGACGUGGAACUUUGUCAAAUGGUUUUUUUCAUAAUUACUGGGAGGAUUAUGUGUUUUUUCCCUAUUAAUAGUAGCCUAUUAAUGUGGUAAAUUACCUAAAUUUAUUAUCAACUAGUUAAUCACCUUUGCAUGGUAUUAGAUAUGAUGGCUGCAGAAGAAAUGUCAGAAGUUCUCUACUCUUAAUUAACUUACAGUGUAAUUGAAGAGACAAAACAUGAUUAAAGAAAAGUUAAUAGAUGCCAAAAGGGUAUAUUGUAAUUAUUCGCCACAUUAAUGGGGCUUUGAGUUCAGUUGGCAAAAACCAUUAUGGGCUGUAGUAGGCUGAGCCAGCUUCCUGGAGAGGGUCCUGGAGCUAAAACCGGAAGAAUGGUUGUUUAUCUUUUAGGACACUUUGAAUAGCAUUGCUUUGGUUUGCCAAAUUACCUGCUUUUUGAAGUUUUAACACUGAUUUCAAGUAAUCAUUCAUAUGGGGUCGUACUGGUCAUAUUGCAUUUUGUCAGAAAAACCACCCUUAGGAUCUCCUCUGUUUCCAGCAAAUGUUUUGCUGCUGCCCGGUUUUUUUUUUUUUUUUAAUAUUUAUUUUUGAGAGAGAGAGAGGAAGGAAGGAAGGAAGGAAGGAAGGAAGGAAGGAAGGAAGGGAGGGAGGGAGGAAGGAAAGAAGGAAAGGGAGGGGCAGAGAGAGAGAGAAUCCCAAGCAGGCUCUGCACCCUCAACACAGAGCCCGAUGAGGGGCUUGAACUCAUGAACUGUGAGAUUAUGACCUAAGCUGAAAUCGAGUCAGACGCUUAACCAACUGAGCCAGCCAAGCACCCCGCUGCUGCCCAGUUUUUAAGCCAUUAGUCUAUUCUGAGUUUGCUGCUACAAAAUAAGCUUCAUAGGUAUUUGGACUUUUUCCUUAAUCAACUAUUUGAUUCUUAGAGCUAAUUGGAAAAGAGGACUAAUUAAGAGCAAGUUAAUUGUACAAACAUUCCUAAGGCAUCUACGAUAGGAAAAGAACUCUUCUAGACUCCUGUGUAAAUAACGAUCAUCCUUGCCCGCAGAAAAUUUCCUGUCUUCUACCAGGAAGCUUAAAAUUGUGAGAUUGCCCUGUGCACUUUUGGCUGUGAACAUAAAGUAACUAAAACUUUUUUUCUCACUGGGAGUGAUUUUUGUGUCCAUGGUUUCAAGAGGGUACCUCUACCUCGGAGCACAGCACACUGAGAAAAUUAUUUUCAUGCUAGGGUAAAGGCAGGGACUGGAGGAUGCUUACUUUUCAAUGGCCAAAAUAGAUUAUUUUUCAUUAUUUUUUCUCAAAGUUCUGUUUGUACACCUGUCUUCUGUUUUGUUUAGCUUAGUCUUUCAGGUGUUUUUGUUUGUUUGUUUACAAUUCUUUACUCCACACUUUCUGCCAUUUGAGUCAUACAUACCUACCCCAGUUUUGACAGUCCUAUAAGACCUCCUCAGUCAAUUCUGCUUCCUUCACCAUCUUUUGCCUUAUUUAUAUCCUUGUCCUGACCACUCUUCAGUUUUAGAGUGAGUGUUUUUUUCUUUUGAUCUCCCUGUGUUUUCCUCCAUUAUCUAUACUCAUUAUCACUUUUACAUAUGCUUUCUAGAAAUAGCCAUGUUGGCUGGCGGUGUAUCUUGCCAUAUUAACGUGAAACUUUUAUUUUUAAAACAAAAUUUUUUUAAUGUUUAUUUUUUGAGAGAGAGAGAGACAGUGCGGGGGAUGGGGGGGGGGAAGGGGCAGAGAGCAAGGGAGACACAGAAUCCGAAGCAGGCUCCAGGCUCUGAGCUGUGAGCAUGAAGCCCGACGCGGGGCUCGAACUCACAAACCGUGAGAUCGUGACCUGAGCCGAAGUCGGACACUUAACCGACUGAGCCACCCAUGCGCCCCUAACACGAAAAUUUUAGUGGACGGUGCCUGGGAUGCAUCCUAUUUCUCUGGCUAAUAUCCAAAAAGACAGUGUCUUGAUUAUGCUUAUUAAUAAUUGGAGCCAUUUCAUUUUAUUUCUGUUGGCUGUAGAGUGCUAGCGUGUUUCUGGCUUCCUCCAGUUGGCUUUGUAAAUGUGGUAAGUGCCAACAGGAACAAGUCACAUGUUUAUGUUUUAGCAGACUGGAAUAGUUGUGGCCUGGUAGCCCUGCCAUUCCUUGUAGCUGUCCAGACCAGAGGUGCUACUUCCUGAAAGUAGAGAAUUCAAAGAAUCCAACCCUAACGCGCUUUUGAGUUUUGCUGUUAAGGAGAUCUGGGGUUACGGAUCGCUAAAAAAAAUAGCAAAGUAUCCUGGUUUUGUUUAGAAACUAUGAGACGGAUCCUCACGUUGGCAGCAGUACCAUCUAAGGUUAUAUGAUUCGGAGUUCAAACACCUUUUUUCUGCCUACCAGGUCUUAAAAUGAAAACAAUCUCAGUGUAGCCUUGAACUAAGUUUAUAACAAGUUUUAAAACAGUAAAAUGUUUAUAAAACACUAGCCAAACUAUAAAGAUAUUUGGCCAUCAAAUGUAUUGAGAUUGCAUGUAUACAUUUCUUAUCCCUCCCAUAAAUCUUUGUUUUCUCCUGCUUUCAAAUCCUUGUCUUCUAUGUAUAGGAACUCGAUUCUAAUUUUUGCAAAAAGUAAACCCAAAGCCCACAAAAAUGAAGACCCAACUCAUUGUACUUAUCAUUAGGUUAGUUGCCUUAUUUUUACUUAAGCCAUUCUGAUUUCUUGUUCCUAGCUCAGUGGACUAGUGUAUAUUUUUGUGGCCAAUUAGCAUACAUAUUUCAGAGAGUGUUAGGAUUAACUGAUGAUAAGCAAUGUGUGUGGGGGUUGGAGGAGGUCUUUGCUUCCCCAUUCUGUCUGGGGAGGUCAUAAAAUGCACUGUAGUCAAGUCAUAAAAUGCACUUCAACAAUCAUCACUUCAAGAAACCCCUUCAACUGAAAGCUUGAUGAAAUUUACAUCUGAUGAAUGUGCAUUUGAGCUCCUACUAAAUACAUAUGCAUGAAUUUCAUUUGUUUAAUAGCCCCUUCAUUGCCUAAUUGUCUUUAAGGUUCCUCUCCGGUCAUGAAACAUUUCCCUGAAGCUCCUGUGAGCGGGGAGAGGCUUUUUGCAUUGAUGGAAUUUCAGAACUAAAGAGCCAUAGAGGGGAUUUUUUUUUUUUUAAAGUCUGUAACUUCCAAAGCGAUCAUGUGUCCAAGUAUUAAUUAGACCUGACCUAGAUUACUCUGCCAUAUCCAGAUGACAAGGUCUAUGUGUGAUAUCCACAGCCUCAAGCCACUCAAGGGUGAGCACCAUUGUUUGUAGGCCUGUCUGCCCCCACGAUCCAUUGGCCUCUUAUCUUUUUUUCAAAGCAGUGGUUACCACCACUAGCACUGACCAGUCUCCUACUGAAACCCUUCCAAAGAAUAAUAGAGGUAACUGGAAUGUUUUAAAUGACAAGGACAUCUUUGUAUCCAAGAGUAUAAGUUAGAAAGUGUAGAUCUAAUAAAUUCUGCAGCAGUUUGCAUGUGAAUAGCUAAAGGGAAUUUUAAGAUAUUUUACAUACAAUUGUUGAAUAUGUUAAAUCAGUACUAAUCAAACUGUGGUGAAGGACCAACUCCUGCUCUCACCCCCAAUCCAAUAUGGACCAGUACUUUUCAUCUAUAUGUUCAAUGAGGUAAGACCACAGAUCACAUAUUUGGAGGUCAUAGCUAUGUUAAAUUCCUCCAGAUAGUUCUCAGUAUUCUCAGUUUUGGCACUUAGUUCAUUUGUGGACUGUUCUUGCCCUUCAGAUCACACUUUGAAUAGCAUUUUUCCAAACUAUAGCAAAGGAUAAGGAAAUGAGAUCAAUAGAAGUGAAAUAAAAGAAUAAUAAAUAUGGUGAAUACAAUUAUGAGACUGGUAAAAUGUUAAGUAAAACCAAAGAUUGUUCUGGAUGUAUUUUGAUCCCUGAUAGUUUGCCAAGCACUCUGAAGAUAACAGGGUUAAAACGAUCCAUUCUUUUUUGCUGUUCCCACAUUCUAUAAGUGAAUAGACAAGGUAGGAGUGCCCUCUCAGUUCACCCGAAGGGAAUGAAUUCAGCCUUGCUCAGAGUAUAGUUUCCAAGAUACAUUUGUUCUAUAGUUUCAAUUAAGUGGUUUCUCAAAUUUCAUGAUGGUUUUUUAUUAAAAUCUGUGUAUACAUACACUCAGACAUUAGCCAAAGCAAUAAUAUCUGAACCAUAAAACAGCCUCACUGAGGAUUCAUAAAUACAACCUCUCCCACCCAAUCAUUUUCAAAUCAUGUUUGUCCCUUUAGCAACUUUGCAGAUGAUGUUUUUCAACUCCCAUUACACCCUAAAAAUUUGCUUGGAUGAGUGAAAUCAGUUGCAGUCUUCUUUGCCAGAACAUGGUGCCACACCCUUGGCAGGUAGGCAAUGUUGUCUUCAUGUGUUUGCAGAAUUACUGAGCAUUAGCACUUUGUCCUCCAGAGACCACCCAGCCCUACCCCCUCAGCUUACAGUGCAGUAAUGCCACAGACAGACCAACUCUAGAGGGGAAAUGGCAAUGUCAGAGCUCCCCCUGACUUCACGCAUGCAGGGCCCCUGCAAAAACAAUGGUGGUCUUACAGUCCCUCCCAGGGAGAUGGGGGUGUGAGUGGUGUUGAUGGAAGGGUGGACAACGUGGUGGUUCUUUCUUUUGCACUUUUCUCCUCAAAAAAAAAAAAAAAGACAAAAAAAUCAAAAUCAAAUAGACCACUUUAAGUUACAGCUCCUGGAUCUUUUCCGAAGAAAGUCAACACCACUGUGGUGGCCCCAAAACUAUCCUACUCCUCCACCCCUCUGGGAGUCUCCAGAUCUCUAAGAUUAGAUGAGCCCAAGAAUAGUCUUACCCCACCCAGUCACUCUAUCAGCAGCCAUCUGUGGGCUGAGACUCGGCUCCCAUUCUCGAGUAUUACGGUGUCCUCAGAGGCCUCAUAGACCUCUCGUGGGUUUGGUCACACAAACACAGUGCGCCAGGUCCACUCACUGAGGCUAAUGGUACAAGAGUGUUCCAAGGGCCUGCAGUGCCCUUCACUCCUUGGGUUGGCCAAUUUCCAGAGUUCUUCCUGGAAGGCCUCCUGAUUCCUUUUGAGAUGGGACUCUUCCCAAAGGCUAGGGGACUCAGCCUCUUGGUUCCCAUAGCCUCCUGGCGAAGGGAUAAACACUGACAGUGUGGGGAUUACUAUCCCCACGUAGACCACUCGGUCAUCUUGUCAUCUGUAUGAUUAAUCUCCACAGCCCCCACUCUACUGCAUUAAACUGUAGCACGUGUUUAAUAAAUCUUUGUUCAACAAUGAACGAUUGACCAGGGUGAUUGACCUUUUCUGAAGUGUUGUUGCCCUUUGAGACAGAAGAAAACUCCCCUGUUAAGUGGUACCCAAAAAUCCUUAGAUACUUUGCAGAACUCCUAGUUUGACAUGAUUAGGAUCCUAUGUUACAACUAUAAUCCGGAUUAGGAACUUUUUGAGCUAAAAUUGUGGCCACUCAGAACCAGUGUUUACCAUAUACCUAUUAGUAUUUAUGAUAGCCUUUGUAAAAGCUUCUAAAUAUGGAGAAAAGAUACCUUCCCCUUGCUUUUAGCUGGAAUUAGAGAUAUUUUCUCAUGGAAAAACUUUCGACCUGAAGCAGCAAUAUGUGUCACAUUUAAAUAUAUCCAGAUUCAUCUCAUUGUCAGUGUCCGUCCAGAGUGCAUUUAAUUCUUGCCCAACCAUCCCUACAAUAAGUCAAACAAGCCCUCGGUCCCCAUAGCAUAGAAUGUUCAAGAAAAUUGUGUAAAGAUUAAAGUGUACCAUUGAAUGCAUUCCAAUUGCAUUAGGAGUUCUCCCUUGUUCGAUGAGCCUCCAUUGUUUAAGUAGCCACAGUGGCACUGUGUAUUCGCUACACAAACACCCGGCAGAAAACAUGAGCUUUUCUCUUUCCUUCUUCUCUUUUAAUUGGAAGACAUUUCUCAUGAAAUGCAAUUCUUUGAUUUGUUCUUUUGACAGGAGAAAGACAGCAUGGUUAUUUCUUCCUCGAUAAAUUAAGUCUUAUUGCCAAACCUAACUACUGAGAAAAAGAAACGCACUGUGUGAAAUCCUAACUUUUAGACGCACCACAUUUGCUUACAUAAUCUCCUUUAUUUUCUUCAGAUACUUGCACAUGCAGAUAAUGAAGAUUUAUAGGUCAUCGGUAGUCUCUUUGUUUUUCCCAUAUUUUCAAGAAAGGUAACCGUCCACUCAUUCAGAGUCAGAAAUAAAACAGAACAAUUACUUUGAAUCCAGAUUUGUUAACAUACCCAAUUGUUCAACCGCUCCUAUUUUCUUAAUUUAAUGAAAGGUUUUGAUGAGAUUUGCAUAUAAUUGAAAGGUGAUAUUUGCACAUGGCAUAUUCCUCCCUCUACAUAUUGGGCUUAAGAAGGAGGAGCUUCUCAAAGCAUUAAAUGUACGAGAGCCACAAUUGUUCAGAGACAAACGAAGCAGAGGCUAACAGGAGUGCUGUGGGGACUCAGGAGUAGGUGGUGUUUCUUUAGUGUAUCAGUGGCUCAAAUAAGUAUACAUACCUGUGUUUUCAAAGGUUUGUAGCUUAGCAAUAUAGUGAAUAUUGCUCAUCACCUCAUGGCGGUCAAUUUUUAAAGUCCACGUGUAAGGAGAAAAUCCUAGAGGGUCAAAAUUUCCUCUGAAAAUCUUUUAGGAUUUUCAUACAGUUGUUUUAUAUCCAACAGAGGCAUUUCCCUGUUUCUUCCGUUAUGUACGAGGCGUGGUAGUUCAUUUGCAUUCUAGGGUCAGGUUGAAUAAAAAAUAUUCAGCUUGUUUUUUAAAUGUUUAUUUUUGAGAGAGAGAACAUGAACAGCUGAGGGACAGAGAGAGAGGGGGAGAAAGAGAACCCCAAGCAGGCUCCGUGCUCAGUGUGGAGCCCAACCCAGGACUCAAUCCCGUGACUGUGAGAUCAUGACCUGAGCCAAAAUCAAGAGUCAGACCCUUAACCGACUGAGCCACCUGUGUGUCCUAGAAAUACCCAGCUUUAAAUAUUAGACUCACACACAGAAAUGGAGAUGCUCACUCUAAGAACUCCUGGAGAAUUGAGACUUAUUGAGGGGAUUCAUGUCUUCCUUCUCCAGUGCCAUAAAUGCGUCACAUGAAAUGAUUGUCAGGCACUAUUUUGAUCUGUUCUUUCUCAAGUUGAAUGUUUGUCAUACAGUCCAAUCCUGCUAAUUGCUCCCUGGCUCAUUAGUGGGACACUCCUAGAACUAGAUGUCAAACAAAUAGACUAAAUACUUUUAACUACCUUUUUAGUUUAAAAUUUUCGAACCAAGACUAAGUGGAAAUCUCAAGAGGGUCAGUAACUAAACGUAAGAAAACUUUGUGGUACAUACAUUUUCAUGAAUGACAUACGAUCUGUAUUUUUUGGCAUAUGCCAGGGACUGAAUUGUGUCCCUGUGUCCCCUCAAAGUUCCUAUGUUGAAGCCCUCACCCCUAAUAUGACUGUAUUUGGCAACAGGGCUUUUAUGAGGUAAUUAAAAUUAAGUGAGGUAGGAAGGGUGGGGUGCUAAUCCAGUAGAAUUGGUGGACUUUUAAGAAGAGGAAGUGGGGGGUGCCUGGGUGGCUCAGUCGGUUGAGCAUCCGACUUUGGCUCAGGUCAUGAUCUCACAGUCUGUGGGUUCGAGCCCCACGUCAGGCUCUGUGCUGACAGCUCAGAGCCUGGAGCCUGUUUCCAAUCCUGUGUCACCCUCUGUCUCUGCCCCUCCCCCAGUCUUACUUUGUCUCACUCUGUCUCUCAAAAAUAAAUAAAUAUAUUUUAAAAAAAUUAAAAAAAAAAAAAAGAAGAGGAAGUGGGGCACCUGGGUGGCUCAGUCAUUUGAGUGUCCAACUCUCAGUUUCGGUUCGUGCCAUGAUCUCAUGGUUGUGAAUUCGAGCCACACUUCAGGCUCUGUGCUGGCAGUGCAGAGCCUGCUUGGGAUUCUCUCUGUCACUCUCUCUCUGCCCCUGUCUUCCUCAUGCUUGCUCGCUUGCUCGCUCUC